This 71-nucleotide transfer RNA is filed under the name Chaeturichthys stigmatias (finespot goby). RNAcentral describes it as "tRNA-Glu". It matches the Rfam family "tRNA". Rfam says of the family: Transfer RNA (tRNA) molecules are approximately 80 nucleotides in length. Their secondary structure includes four short double-helical elements and three loops (D, anti-codon, and T loops). Lineage: Eukaryota; Metazoa; Chordata; Actinopteri; Gobiiformes; Gobiidae. The record is from RNAcentral.
UAAGGUUUCCUGUAGUUGAAUAACAAUGGUUUUUCAAGCCAUAAGUCCUGGUUGAAGUCCGGGCAGGAAUG